This 77-nucleotide transfer RNA is filed under the name Neotoma lepida (desert woodrat). It matches the Rfam family "tRNA". Rfam says of the family: Transfer RNA (tRNA) molecules are approximately 80 nucleotides in length. Lineage: Eukaryota; Metazoa; Chordata; Mammalia; Rodentia; Cricetidae. The record is from Rfam by way of RNAcentral.
GGAGAGAUGGCUCAGUGGUUAAGAGCACGUACUGCUUGCUCUUCCUGAGGAUCUGAGUUCAAUUCCCAGCCUCUACA